This 1545-nucleotide ribosomal RNA is filed under the name Salmonella enterica subsp. enterica serovar Wagenia. RNAcentral describes it as "partial 23S ribosomal RNA". It matches the Rfam family "Bacterial large subunit ribosomal RNA", at positions 1272 to 2800 of the family's 2925-position model. The record is from RNAcentral. Lineage: Bacteria; Pseudomonadati; Pseudomonadota; Gammaproteobacteria; Enterobacterales; Enterobacteriaceae.
GCUGGAGGUAUCAGAAGUGCGAAUGCUGACAUAAGUAACGAUAAAGCGGGUGAAAAGCCCGCUCGCCGGAAGACCAAGGGUUCCUGUCCAACGUUAAUCGGGGCAGGGUGAGUCGACCCCUAAGGCGAGGCCGAAAGGCGUAGUCGAUGGGAAACGGGUUAAUAUUCCCGUACUUGGUGUUACUGCGAAGGGGGGACGGAGAAGGCUAUGUUGGCCGGGCGACGGUUGUCCCGGUUUAAGCGUGUAGGUGUGUGUUCCAGGUAAAUCCGGUUCACUUUAACACUGAGGCGUGACGACGAGGCACUACGGUGCUGAAGCAACAAAUGCCCUGCUUCCAGGAAAAGCCUCUAAGCAUCAGGUAACAUCAAAUCGUACCCCAAACCGACACAGGUGGUCAGGUAGAGAAUACCAAGGCGCUUGAGAGAACUCGGGUGAAGGAACUAGGCAAAAUGGUGCCGUAACUUCGGGAGAAGGCACGCUGACAUGUAGGUGAAGUGAUUUACUCACGGAGCUGAAGUCAGUCGAAGAUACCAGCUGGCUGCAACUGUUUAUUAAAAACACAGCACUGUGCAAACACGAAAGUGGACGUAUACGGUGUGACGCCUGCCCGGUGCCGGAAGGUUAAUUGAUGGGGUCAGCGCAAGCGAAGCUCCUGAUCGAAGCCCCGGUAAACGGCGGCCGUAACUAUAACGGUCCUAAGGUAGCGAAAUUCCUUGUCGGGUAAGUUCCGACCUGCACGAAUGGCGUAAUGAUGGCCAGGCUGUCUCCACCCGAGACUCAGUGAAAUUGAACUCGCUGUGAAGAUGCAGUGUACCCGCGGCAAGACGGAAAGACCCCGUGAACCUUUACUAUAGCUUGACACUGAACAUUGAGCCUUGAUGUGUAGGAUAGGUGGGAGGCUUUGAAGUGUGGACGCCAGUCUGCAUGGAGCCGACCUUGAAAUACCACCCUUUAAUGUUUGAUGUUCUAACGUGGACCCGUGAUCCGGGUUGCGGACAGUGUCUGGUGGGUAGUUUGACUGGGGCGGUCUCCUCCUAAAGAGUAACGGAGGAGCACGAAGGUUGGCUAAUCCUGGUCGGACAUCAGGAGGUUAGUGCAAUGGCAUAAGCCAGCUUGACUGCGAGCGUGACGGCGCGAGCAGGUGCGAAAGCAGGUCAUAGUGAUCCGGUGGUUCUGAAUGGAAGGGCCAUCGCUCAACGGAUAAAAGGUACUCCGGGGAUAACAGGCUGAUACCGCCCAAGAGUUCAUAUCGACGGCGGUGUUUGGCACCUCGAUGUCGGCUCAUCACAUCCUGGGGCUGAAGUAGGUCCCAAGGGUAUGGCUGUUCGCCAUUUAAAGUGGUACGCGAGCUGGGUUUAGAACGUCGUGAGACAGUUCGGUCCCUAUCUGCCGUGGGCGCUGGAGAACUGAGGGGGGCUGCUCCUAGUACGAGAGGACCGGAGUGGACGCAUCACUGGUGUUCGGGUUGUCAUGCCAAUGGCACUGCCCGGUAGCUAAAUGCGGAAGAGAUAAGUGCUGAAAGCAUCUAAGCACGAAACUUGCCCC